CCGGAAAUAGCAGAGACGUGGGCCAUGAUCACUUUUUUUUUUUUUUUUUUUUUUUUUUUUUUUUAGUGUUCAGCAAAUUUCAAAGACUGGGAGGGGUGGGGCAUAUUCCUAAGAAAGAGGAAACAGGGACAUGGAGGAAAUGAAACAGUGAAAGGGGAGGACUUAAGGAAGGGAUAAAGAAAGGGGCCUAUCAAAGGAUAGCCAACUUCCCCAGGCCUGUCUUGUCCCCAGUCACCAAGGCAGUGAUGCAGUGUAUCUCUGUGAGGGAAUAAGGUAACUAAGCUAACACCACAAUGACUGUCCUCCCUCUCUCUUACUCUCAACAUGCUGAGUUCUCUGAGAACUGCUUACCCCUCUCCAAGGAUGAAGAUGUGUGAUAUACUUACAGAGGGACCUGUAUCAGAAACUCAGGGAAAGCAAAGAGGGAUUAAUUGCCUUUUUUUCUUCCAGGACACCAAGCAGCUUGGUUCUGUGGACAAUGAGGCUUCAUGACUACCUGCAAACAACUAUGGGUGACAAGGUUACAAGGAUUUUCUACUUGUGGAUUUCAAUUCAACUGGAAAGACACCUCCUCAGGUCUCCCUACACUGCUGGAGUGGUUCUGCCAGCAUCUUCUAUCUUCCCAUCGUUGCCCUGGAUACCUGCCCAGUUCUCAUCCCCCACCUUCAAGAGAAGGCCGUAACCUUAGGCCUGGAACUGGAACUGGAGAGGAACCAAUGAGGCAAGGCCGGCAUAGCUUCAAGGAAUGAAGUCUGGGAAUGAAAGUAAGUUCGUUUAACUUAUUAAUAGAGCCCGUAAAACACCAGGUGAACUGGAAGGUCAAGGGCAAUGACUUGAAUGAAUCUUCUGGACUAUCAAUGCGUGGAACUGACCCAUAAUGUCUUCAUCAUGCUACUUCAGAGAAAUCAGCUGCCCGGAAGCAAAUUGGCUGACUCUAACGAAGUUAAUCCAUGGAUAUUUGAUGAAGUCCAAACUAUCAUUAUAACUGUAAGUAUUUCAGCCCUAAGCAAUUUUCUGAUAACCUGGACAGAAGGGGAGUGAGUCAGGAUGGAUUUACUUCUAGAGCUAUGUAUGAGGGUGCAGGUUGGAGAAGGUCAAAGCCAGUCUGGGCUCCAUAUAAGUUCAGGGUGUGCUUUAACUGUAUAAUGAAACCCUGUCUCUAAUCUCUCAUAAGAAAACACAGACC
Molecule: long non-coding RNA, 1186 nt
Filed under: Rattus norvegicus (Norway rat)
Lineage: Eukaryota; Metazoa; Chordata; Mammalia; Rodentia; Muridae
Description: long non-coding RNA NONRATT033855
Source: RNAcentral